This 102-nucleotide transfer RNA is filed under the name Colletotrichum navitas. Its description in RNAcentral is "tRNA-Val". It matches the Rfam family "tRNA". From Rfam's summary of the family: Transfer RNA (tRNA) molecules are approximately 80 nucleotides in length. The record is from RNAcentral. Lineage: Eukaryota; Fungi; Ascomycota; Sordariomycetes; Glomerellales; Glomerellaceae.
GGUCUGGUGGUGUAGUUGGUUAUCACGUCAGUCUAACAAUUCGAGCGCUUCGCCUCUCGUCUGGUUCACUGAAGGUCUCCGGUUCAAGUCCGGGCUAGAUCA